This 135-nucleotide ribosomal RNA is filed under the name uncultured eukaryote. Its description in RNAcentral is "partial 18S ribosomal RNA". It matches the Rfam family "Eukaryotic small subunit ribosomal RNA", at positions 1299 to 1458 of the family's 1831-position model. The record is from RNAcentral.
UGGUGGAGUGAUUUGUCAGGUUAAUUCCCUUAACGAACGAGACCUUAACCUGCUAAAUAGAGACAUCUAUAUUUUAGGUGUACUCUUCUUAGAGGGACUACCGAAGUAAUUCGGUGGAAGUUUGAGGCAAUAACA